This 293-nucleotide ribosomal RNA is filed under the name uncultured bacterium. Its description in RNAcentral is "partial 16S ribosomal RNA". It matches the Rfam family "Bacterial small subunit ribosomal RNA", at positions 505 to 796 of the family's 1533-position model. The record is from RNAcentral.
GUGCCAGCCGCCGCGGUAAGACGUAGGGCGCGAGCGUUGUCCGGAAUUAUUGGGCGUAAAGAGCUCGUAGGCGGCUUGUCGCGUCGACUGUGAAAACCCGUGGCUCAACCAUGCGGUCUGCAGUCGAUACGGGCAGGCUAGAAUUCGGUAGGGGAGACUGGAAUUCCUGGUGUAGCGGUGAAAUGCGCAGAUAUCAGGAGGAACACCGGUGGCGAAGGCGGGUCUCUGGGCCGAUAUUGACGCUGAGGAGCGAAAGCGUGGGGAGCGAACAGGAUUAGAUACCCGAGUAGUCC